Molecule: transfer RNA, 77 nt
Filed under: Chloroflexota bacterium
Lineage: Bacteria; Bacillati; Chloroflexota
Also listed under: 2 other names
Description: Chloroflexi bacterium tRNA-Cys
Rfam family: tRNA
About the family: Transfer RNA (tRNA) molecules are approximately 80 nucleotides in length.
Source: RNAcentral
GGCGACGUACCCAAGUGGUCUAAGGGGGAGGUCUGCAAAACCUCUAUUCAGCGGUUCGAAUCCGCUCGUCGCCUCCA